This 647-nucleotide long non-coding RNA is filed under the name Phoenix dactylifera (date palm). RNAcentral describes it as "long non-coding RNA (PDAC_LNC020018)". Lineage: Eukaryota; Viridiplantae; Streptophyta; Magnoliopsida; Arecales; Arecaceae. The record is from RNAcentral.
AUGUAUCUUUUGGUUUCUGUGAAAUAGUCAAAGUUAAAAUUGUAGAUAAAAAAUGACGCAAAAGUUGAAGACAACAAAAUCAGCCAGCUUGAACACUCAUGUUGAAGUAGAAAUCGAUAUAGAACGAUUGGACAAACAAAUGUGCAGUAGUAUGCCUCCACCGACAGUAGAGACAUUAAAUUACAAUCAUAACAGACUGAACUGAAAAGAAUUAUGGUGAACGAGUGAUAUGAUUAAUUCAACUUGGCAAGAUGAGAUGAGAUGUUUCAGGUGGACUCAUAAAUGAGCUGAAAUCUGGCCCAACCACAUGUUCUUGGUAGGUCAGAAGGGCGUGUCACCCAUGAAAGACUUUCAACAUUUUGAAAAUUCUCCAUGCUCUUAAAAAAAAGGAGGAAAUUUGACUUUAUUAUAAGGUUAUCCAUUUUUAACAAACUCAGAACCAUAACUUGAAUCUUAUCAUUCAGUCUUCAUAAAGUCCUAUUGUUAUCAAGCAUUGUGAUGGUAAACCACAAGAUGUUAUGGUCAUGUGCAACAGGGUUUUGAGGAGGUUCCAUGAACGAAAAGGGUUCAAAUUUGUGGAUGAGAACUUGGAGCGAACUAAGAUGGAAGAUGCCUGAACAGAUUUGAAAAGAGGCAUCAACAAUAUG